GAGAGCCCGAUGUGGGACUCGAUCCCAGGACCCUGAGAUCAUGACCUGAGCCAAAGGCAGCGGCUUAACCCACUGAGCCACCCAGGCGCCCCCUUUGAUCCUGUUUUGAAGAAUCAAGGGCUGAUAUGAAAGAAAAAAACAGGGAUUUUUGGUGUGGAAAGGAGCUUGGCUUCAGAACUGGAGGAGACUGGAGGGAAAUAUUGAAGCUAAUUGAGGAUUCUGGAAAUGGAGCCAUUUUCCAGGAAGCAGCAGCUUAUCUCAACUCAGGCAAAGGACCUGGCAGGCAAAGCAUCCUAAGAUGGAGACUGAAACUACCCUUCAGGACAAUAACAACUGUCCUGACUCCAGCAAGACCGAGUGUGAUUGACCCCAAGAAAACGAUCAACCUGACCUCUACUGGCCACCUGCCACCCACCAACAUUUGCCCCACAUUUUCCUUAUAUAAACCUGGAAGUAUUUUCAGCUCUUGGAGUCAGUCCGUUGUCUUCCCGGUGUUGGUCUCACUGAAAUGAAUUCCUUUUUGGUUACACGGCCACUCGUUUGUGAACUGCGGAUGGCCCACCCUCGUCUUUUUGGGACCCUCAGAGCCAAGUGGUUACAAUUUUAAGUGUACAAUUAGUGGUUUUUAACAUAUUCACUGCAUUGUGCAACCCUCGCCACUAUUGUGCAGGUAUUAUUAAUUUACAUAAAGGUAUUUUUUGUUGUCAUUCUGUUUCUAUUUUUGUCAAUUGCCAUUUUUAAAAAAUCCAUCCGUGCUGCUGCGCCCA
Long non-coding RNA from Mustela putorius furo (domestic ferret), 767 nucleotides. NCBI's taxonomy places the organism in Eukaryota, Metazoa, Chordata, Mammalia, Carnivora, Mustelidae. The record is from Ensembl.